RNAcentral lists this ribosomal RNA (253 nucleotides) under uncultured bacterium. RNAcentral's name for it is "partial 16S ribosomal RNA". It matches the Rfam family "Bacterial small subunit ribosomal RNA", at positions 524 to 776 of the family's 1533-position model. The record is from RNAcentral.
UACGUAGGGUGCGAGCGUUGUCCGGAAUUAUUGGGCGUAAAGGGCUCGUAGGCGGUUUGUCGCGUCGGGAGUGAAAACACCGGGCUUAACUCGGUGCUUGCUUUCGAUGCGGGCAGACUAGAGGCAUGCAGGGGAGAACGGAAUUCCUGGUGUAGCGGUGAAAUGCGCAGAUAUCAGGAGGAACACCGGUGGCGAAGGCGGUUCUCUGGGCAUGUCCUGACGCUGAGGAGCGAAAGUGUGGGGAGCGAACAGG